CCACCUCCACCAGCUGAUGGAACAAUAGCGCCGAACACACCCAAAAAGAAAACCCAUCUUCUUCUUCUACACUGCCAAAAACCCAAAAAGAAACUGAUGAGCUCCCAGUCGUAUCUCCCAAAAACCAGCGACAGACACCCUACCAAACGAGCAGGCGCUGCCAGUCGCCCAGACUCGCCGAAAAAAGAGAUCAGUGCCUAUCUCCUUCUGUCACCAAACCAGCGGAUAUCUCUCUCACGACCGCCACUUAACGACCACCUUUCCACAUAAGCUCGAAGCCACAACUCACCCCCACUUUCCUCUAUUGAAGCCUCCCCAAGCCUUCUCCAAAAGCAGCAACUAAAAUCCCCUAAAACAAUCCAAACUUCAGCUUACCAAGGAGCUAAAACCAGUCUCUAAACUCUAAUGGAACAACAAGAGUAGCAAGAGACGAUUUUGAAAGAGAAAUUUCGGGGAGAAAGAUUAGUUUCUUUUUGUUCUUAAUUUUGCUUCAAAAAUCGGGAAAAAAUCAAAAGCAUUAUUUUUCUUCUGGAUUUUGUUCAAAUAGAGUUCAUUGAAGCGAAGUCGAGUUUGCUGUUCGAAUUUGGUUGCUAGUUCGAGUUCCUGCUUAUCUAUUGCUGUUCGCUUCAAAUAUUUAUUGCCGGAUUUCAUUUGAUUGCAAUCAAACGAAGUUAAUCAAGAAUUUUCUUGCAUAUUCAGUCAGAUUCAAUUCAUUGGUGUUUACUGUAGAUGAUUUCUCAUUAAUACUGGGGAGUUUAUUAUUGAGGUCCAUUUCUACUCUCAUCUCAUAUGUGCUUUGCCCUUUUCCUUAUUUUAUUUCUGAUUUUUGAGUAUUUCAUGCCUUGUUCCAUUGUCUUAAUUUGCUUCCUUAGUUUACUAUAUUCUGUGGUAUUGUAGUCAAUUUUGUAGUAGACCAAUGUGAAUUAAUUGGUGUUAAGCUUGAAGUGAUUCUGAAAUAUUAAGGCAAAUGGGUUACAAUUUGAUAAAUAAGACAAAAAUUGAAUUCGAUCAAGGGUUGAUUUAACACAUACAUGGAAUUUUAAGGCAAAUUUGAAUGUGCAAGGAAGGAGAAUUUAAUAAUUCGAGCUUUAGAUGAUUCCAUUAUUUCUUUAUUUUUAUAUAUUAACUCGGUUGCUAAAAAUAUGUUUAGGCUGACCAUACUUGCGUAGACAAGCUUUAGGAUUUUUGUUAGUUUUUAGGCGAGAGGUUGUUUCCUUAGUUAAAUUCAUCUGGGGAAUGCCCCGAAGGAUUUGUAUAUAUUUUACUUUGGAAAAUGUCGCGUAAUAUUCUUUAAUUGGAGGCCAAAAGCAAACUCGUAAUACUUUUAUUUCUAUUUUAUUUUUAAUUUUAUCUUUCUUUUAUUAGGUGAGAACGAUCUUGAGCCUCUUAUCUAUUAAUUUUCCUGUUUUGUGUUUAUUUAGUCAAUACAAUUAUUUUAAAAGUCAGCUUGAUCAUGUACGCAACCGUACUAGUUACGGAACUCGGGGAAUGCCUAACACCUUCUCUCCAAGUCAAAUGAACCCCCUUAUCUAGAAUCUCUGGUGCAAACUGGUUUAAGAGUCAAAUGUGUUUUAAAAGAAAAUUGUUUUUUUUAUAAAAAGAAUGGUGACCUGGCACACUGAAACUAACUGUCAGGUGAUGCACUGAAAAAUCCUUCAAAGUGCAAUCUUUUGUCACUUUUCAAAUUGAAAACCUUUUUGAGCUUCACUUUUAGUAUUUUAAAGAGGGUUAGUGGAGAAAAAAAUGGGUAUGACAACUCUGGCGACUCUACUGGGGACUUACAGGUUCGAGCUGAUACUUGAUCUUGUUGGCUUUUAGCUAUUCAGUUGAGGUGUUUGUUUUCUUUAUUUGCUUUUUUUAUUUGGCUUGUUUGUCUUUUUUACUGUUUUGUUGGUUAUUUAUUUAUUGAUUUUCCUUAUGUGUUUACCGCUUUAUAACUAUCAUUAUUUGCAUAGCAGUAGGUUUUCUUUCUGCAAUAAGUCUUUCGGAGUACGUUUUAGCGUAAAAGGUCUUUUUGUGAGUCACUCAUAUCUAUGGGGGUGGCGUGGGAGUAUGGAGUGGGAGGAUAGCUAGAACAGCCGCCAUCGAUCACGUGUCGUCCCGAAUUGCCUUGUCUAGUGAACCCCAAACUUAGGUAAGCCUAUAGGUCAUUUUUAUUUGCAUCAGGUCAUUUAGACCUAGCAGGGCUCGGUCUCAGGCAUCAUGUUCCUUUAUAGGAGGCUUAUCCAAAUUGUGUUAAAUGGCCAUGGUCCAAAAAGAUAUUCAAUCAUCCCUAUGUGAUAUCUGUUGCAUCUUUGAGGGUAGAAAGGUCAUUUGACAGACUGAUAUUUGGGAAAGAGGGUAAAUAAAAAAAUGAGGCAAGUAGGGUCCAAUUAUGUUUUUCUUUCAUAACUUUUUCAAGAAAAAGACAACCAAAAAAAUGAAAAUGAAAAAUCCAAAAACAAUUUGCGCUUCACAUCAUUUUCCCAAAAAAAAAUCCAAAAUGAUUAUACAUGUCUAAUUAUUUUUCAAAAAAGACAAAAAAUAUAUUUUCUCCAAAUCAGUGUUUUUGUUAAAUCUCCCCUAUAUGCAAUCUUCCCAAACUACGCAUACCCGAUUCUUGUGUUUCAGGGCGGGAUACAUAGGCAUCCCACAUAGGAUCCAGUCUUCGUAGUAAAUCUUAGGUUCUUGGCUUCUCGAGAUCUUAGCCAAAUCUUGCAUGUCUGGCCACAUCGGUUGUUUUUGCGAAAUAGGGUAUUUUCUAAAAGUGGUUUGUUAUCCCAUGUCUUAGAGACCUAAGUCCACAGCAAGGUGUCUUCUCAGUUUUAAGGUCCAUUCCUAUUGAAUUACAUGUCUAGCCAUUUUGGCCACAUCUGCUAUUCUUGCAAAAUGGAGUCAUUUUCACGAAAGUGGUUCAACGACCCAUGUCUUAGGUCCUAAAUCCACAAAAAUGUGUCCUCUUUAUUUAAGUUCCAUUUUGUUGAGUUUGCACUUCUAGCCACCUUAUAGCCACGUAGAUCGUUUUGCAAAAAUAACCUUAAUCAUAUCUUGAACGUGUCCAAUAAAAAGAGUUAUUAUCUCAUAUAGUGUUCUAAUGCUUUAAUUCUAUUUGAUCUUAUUUUUGAAUUCAUGUAUGGAUUCAUUUACCAUCGCUUGAGCAUGACAAUUAAUAGAUACCCCAAACCCAUUCUACUCAUGACCAUUAAAAAUAGGAGCUGCUUGAGGAGACUUUUUUUUUUUUUAAUGUUUUUUAGUUUGUUUUUCAUGUUUUACUUUCUAGUCUUGUCUAGUAAAAUUGAGUCUUUUAGAUGGCGUCAGAGUCUGUUGUACUCAAGUUGAGUUUGUUGAGUUUUUGUUAUCGUACUUCCUAUUUUGUAUUUUUGAAAAUAGAAAAACCAAAAAAAAUAUUAUUAUGAAAAAUUCAAAAGAUUUUUGUUUUUAGUUUCUUUUUCCAAUUACUUUUGCUGAACUACGCUUGAUCUAAUUCAUGAGGGACAUGAUACGUAGUCAACCUACAUAUGGUUCGACCGAAUUAUUUUUUAAAAUUAAAAAAAAAAGAAAAAAAAAGAUGAAAUUGUGGAUGUGAGAAGUGAGAGGAAAGAAAAGAGUGUUUAUCAGAAAGAAAAAAGAAGAAGAAAUAUUAGCGAGCCAAGACGUGCUAGAAAAGAAAGAAAAGAUAAGAUUGAAAUGAACAAGAUUGGGAUGAUGCCAAAUGACUUUGUAACCCUCGAAGUCAUUCUAGAAUCGUUAAUUGUUGCUAGUUACAUUGCACGAGUGAUAUUUCUAUCUAAUAAAUAUCUUAUCGCUAACAUUUUGGCUUUGUUUUGCUCAUCUUUGUUACUUUCACUAUUAUCAUAACAGAGGGUGACUAGUUUGUGGCAAUUUGGCGAUUUAUCUAUACAACACAAGGUCAAAGAGCAAGGAAGCCAUGACUAGCAAAUACUUGGAGAUAUGUGUUGAUUCGCCUAAGGAGAUUGUUGAAUCAGAAUCUGAGUUGAAAGAAGGGUCCUAAGGCUGAAAGGACAGAUGGCCGAAAUGUACCAAGUUGGGAUUAGUGGGUUUCCUCCACCAUUAUUUCCCACUAACUACACUGAACGCCUUAUCACUCCGCCAUUGUCACAAAUCAAGGUUCCCACUGGUGCUGACAUCUCCCCAUGACCUUUUCAUACUCCACUCUCUAAAAUCACCUCAUAUCCCGCUCCUUUGACCACUCAGGUUUUUGCAGCCCCUCCACAAGCUACCCUCCAUCGAGCCUCUGGUGAGCCCGCAUUCUAAGGUUCAGAUAUUCAACACGAUGCCCCGGAAUCCACUUUAUAAAUCCUGGAUCCUUACUCCUACACUCCUUACUUUGCGCCUCAUGUUAAAAUUGAGAAACCACCCAAGAACGCGGAGCAAGAGGAGAUGUUUAAGAAAGUAAAAAGCCUGGAGCAAUUAUUGACAAAUAUGCAAGGGUUAGGAAGCCAGGUGAUUUGUGGCUUAUAAGGAUUUGUGUUUAUUCCUUGAUGUCCAACUGCCUGCUGGGUUCAAGAUGCCCAAGUUUGACUUGUAUGACAGACACAUGGAUCUCGUAGCUCAUCUGAGAGGUUAUUGUAGUAAAAUGAGAGGCGCUGGGGGCAAAGACGAACUACUGAUGGCGUACUAUAGCCAGAGUCUUAGUUGGGCAUUUUUAGAAUGGUACACCCGCCAGGAUGCUGGCAGGUAGUACAUGGGAUGAUAUGACCUAUGCCUUUGACCGGCACUUUCAGUAUAAUAUAGAAAUUGUCCCGGAUCACAUGUCCCACACUAACAUGGAAAAGAGGCCUAAUGAAAGCUUUAGGGAAUAUAAGUAAGAUGGAGACAACAAUCUUCCCGAGUCAAUCCUUCGAUGGAAGAAGAUGAAAUAGUUGAGUACUUUCUUGAAGCUCAAGAGCCUACAUACUUUGGGCAUUUGAUCUCGGCUGUAGGUAAGCCUUUUAAUAAUGUGGUAAAAAUAGGAGCAAUGGUAGAAAAUGGGCUAAAGUCAAGCAAGAUCAUAAGCUAUUCUACUUUAAAAGCCACAACACAGGCAAUUCAGAAUGACACGGGAAGCUUGCUGGGUCAAAAGGAACAUUGUGAUGUUGCCAUGAUUGUCUCAAGAUCACGAUAUGGCCAAACGGGUCCACCUCACCAAUAUACUCAGCCUCGACCCCGACCCCAACAAAUCUAUCCCCGAUCUCCACAUAAUCCAUCUCAGUAUUAUCCUCCAAAUAAUGUUCGAUCAUCUGUCCAACCACUAAGACUCCCUAGAAGGCGAGCACCAGCACUGCAAAAAAUCUCCACUAGCCUCCACAAAAUUUUCAAAUGCCCUAUAACCCACAUCCAAGCUAGGGUUAUAGAGGGGAACAAAGGUUAACAGAUAAUUUUACACCAAUAGAAAAGUCCUAUUCAGGCUUGUUUGAGAAAUUAAGGCAUUAUGACAUGAUUGCACCUAUUCAUCCAAAUCAUGCGGACCCACGUGCAAGAAGCUUCGACCCUUCUAAAAGGUGUGAAUACCAUUCCCAUGCCCAGGGGCACAAUAUUGAAGAUUGUAAUGCUUUGAAUAGGGAAAUAGAAAUAAUGAUUCAAGAAGGGAUAAUUGUGGUCUAAGGCAGCAAUAUCCUAAGUGUCACACAUAAUCCUUUACAUAACAACCCUCAAAUUGUUGGGAUGAUUUGCAAUGACGAAGGGUUGGUUAAAGGAGCCAAUGAACCACCUGGUGAAGACAAUGUGAUCGAAGUUGGUGAAGGUCCUAGUAAUGUUGAUAUGUAACUCAGUGGCUAAGAUGUCGAGCUUGGUCAUUGGAAAGACACUCCUUUCUUGUCUAGCCAAGAAGGAGUUUUGGUGGUUUAUUUUGUUGUCAUUGCUAUCGUCCGGGUUAUAUCAGGGUUGUAAUUUGGAUAUGAUCUUGUGGCUCAAACCUGUCUUCUUCUUCCUCUUCUAAUUUUGUCUAGUUCAUUUUAUUGUAGUAAUUUGUGUUGUGUUAGUUCUAGAGUUGUAACCUAUGUCUAUUCUGCUUGUUUUGUUGUAGCCCUUUUCACCGUCUGUCUAAUGCAAUCCCUUAUUUUCUGUUAGUUCUAGUCAAUUUUGUUUAGGUAACUUUUCCUUUUAUUGUUCUUUCUAUGCCGAAUAUAGUGACUUAAUAUGCACUCAUAAUUCUCAGCCUGGUCUUGGAAGUUAGUAUAAUCACGAAGCAAUGACACAGUUUUGAAUAUGAUAGAAGUAUGAAUUUGAUGAAACAAGUAAAGAUUCACGCAUUCGGAGAUAACCCGCAGCUUGAACAGAGUGAAACUAAGGCAGUUAGUCUGGGAAAUCAUGAGGUUCAUAAGAGCAUAUAGCAAGGAAAUGUCUCUCAAGUAGUUUGAGGUAGAUCAAUUAGUGAUGAAUGCGUUCUUCCACAUCAAGAUAAGGUUGAGUCAAGUUUGCUUCGAACUAGAAAGAGUCUUUCAUUGGGACAAAGGUAUUGCUAUU
This 6444-nucleotide long non-coding RNA is filed under the name Nicotiana benthamiana. RNAcentral describes it as "long non-coding RNA (NBEN_LNC037352)". The record is from RNAcentral. Lineage: Eukaryota; Viridiplantae; Streptophyta; Magnoliopsida; Solanales; Solanaceae.